AGAGCGCGCAGAGCAAGGCCGCCGCCAGCUCUCCCAGGAACCGUCGCGAGGCGUCCCCUCGGCGGCCGCCUCAGUUUCCCUGGCCGUAAAACGCGGGCGAUGGCGCUCGAUGCCCCGGGAGACGCCGGGGUCCGCGGGCCCUUCCGGCACCGGGUCCUCCUUCAGGUUCGGGCACCCGGCUGCCUCCACGCGGGGCGAGCGCGGCGAUGGGAUCGGUCCGUGCUGCGCUCAGCCCCGCUUUCGCUAUCCCUCUGCUCCAGGGGCAGCAAAAUCAGCAGAUGAGCCCCCAGCGCGCCUGCGGCCCACACACUGCGGCCGUAACAGUUAAACAGACGGGGAACAUUCAUGUGCGUAGAGCUCUUCACGGGGCGAUACAGAAAUGUGUCGUUCUAAAGCGUUAACGACCUGCAAUUUGCAUAUCCUCCAACACAUGGAUUUUACUGAUUCAAUUAUGGAUGUGUGCAAAGAAUCUGCUGCUCGCACCCUGUGAGGAGGGUUACCUCUGUGGAGCCGGUGAAGGCGAUCUUGUUGAUCUGAGGGUGAGAAGAAAUUGCUGCUCCCACUGUGGGCCCGAAUCCUGGCACAAUGUUCACCACUCCUGGAGGGAACCCGGCCUGGGAAGAAAUCAAGAUAGCACUUGAAGAAGAACGGACUUCAUCCACCACGGAUCCACAUUUGGGCCGAGAGAGCCGUGGCUGCCUCACAUCCCCACAGGGAACCCGGGCCGGGCUGGAUUUACCCAGGACCCAGAAGCAGUUGACCGUGGGCACCCUGGGAGCUGACCUGGGCUUCUCAUCCCCUGCUGCCAGCCCAGUGUGCAGGCUGGGCAAGGGGAGAUGCCCACUUCUCCUUCUGGGGGGGGACCCCAUCCCAAAGUGAUAUGCAGUGCAAAUGUGUGGUUAUGCUUCAAGGUGGCCAUGGCCCGCCUGUAGCACAGCACCUUUCCAUGUGGGGUGUGUGUGUGUGUGAGGGAGAGUGUGUGUAUGCGUUAAGGGGAGAGGGGUACCUUGAUCAGAAUGCCCUGCCCAGGAUCAGAGGCACCUGCAAAAUAUCUGCCAAGAGCUUCAGUUUUGUUUUUUCUUCUUUUUUUUUUUUUUGAGAUGGAGUCUUGCUCUGUCGCCCUGGCUAGAGUGUAGUGGCGCGAUCUUGGCUCACUGUAAGCUCCGCCUCCCAGGUUCACGCCAUUCUCCUGUCUCAGCCUCCUGAGUAGCUGGGACUACAGGUGCCCGCCACCACGCCUGGCUAAUUUUUUUUUUUUUAAGUAGAGAUGGGGUUUCACUGUGUUAGCCAGGAUGGUCUCGAUCUCCUGACCUCGUGAUCCACCCACCUCGGCUUCCCAAAGUCCUGGGAUUACAGGCGUGAGCCCAGUUUUCAUUUUUUAAUCAGACCCGUUAUUAUUCCAAAUGGUGACAGGGUAUCACUCCCUUAAAGUUCUUUGCUUGUUCAACCUGGGUCUCACCUGGAGCAAGCCCUUCUGGAAGGCAGGGACUGCCACCUCGUUCACGUUCAUGCCUCGUGUUUUUCAUAUACUAAGCCUCUUUAUCAGGCGAGAACACAAAACAAACGAGGUGGAGGAUGCUCUUCCCCACCUGUGCUGAGUCUUACUUAGAACACAUUAUUUCAGAAAAUCAAGAUUUUAGGCACGCUGCUUGAGUCUUUAGAUUUUUAGGCACUGUUUCUUAACAGUUGGGAUUUUCACAUUCCUAAGUCUCACCAGUGUGACUUAAUUAUGCCCCACAUCACCAAAGGAAAGUGGAAAAUUGGCUCAUCACCAGCUGUUCCCACCUUGCUUCUAAGCAACUGUGGACCUGCCUGCCGGUCAUAUCAGCCCGACUAAGAAGAGAAAGGAAUGGAUCUUUUCUUCUGUCCCUCUUUGCUUCCUGUUGCUUUCUCUAAAUCUUUGCUCCAUACAACCUGGGGAUGGAAUGACUAAAGGUAUGUCUGGAAGGAGGUGUCCCAUUGAGCCUCUGUUUCCCUAAGUUCUGGCUGCCUGAGGGAGAAGAGAUUGCAUUCAGAGCAGAGGGCACUGAUUAGCAGGGACCCGGCACACGGACUGCUGCAGCCGCCCAGCUAGAGCUGACGAGGCCACCUCUCCAGAGAAAAAUGGACCAUUUCAUAAACUGAGAAUGCAAAUCCCAGAGAACCUCCCAAAUAUUUGGCUCCCUCUUGGUUGACCCCCCCUGAAAAUUCUCUAGACAAACCACUGGGUCCUCAACCAUAGGUUUGAGCCCAUAAUAAGAGUUAAGCAUUCUCAUUAGGACCACUGGGAGGAAUGGAGUUUCUCCAGCUCAGUGGCCACAAGCAGGAGAAAGAACGUGCAGUCGCCAAACAAAACACUGGAAGUCAUUCCCUUCCCACUCGAUUGCCAGCAGUCUGCCACUGUCCCAUCUCGUGACGGUGGCCUGGUUCCUAGGAGUGGGAAUGUUACCAAGAACAUGUGAUAUUUUCUUUUUGGAUGUCUCACCUCUUUGAUCAGAGAGCCGAGAUAAAGGGCGGUGAGAGGUGUCUGCUCCGCAGGCUUCAGGACCAUGGUGUUCCCACAGCAGAGGGCGGGUGCCAGCUUCCACACCAGCAUCAGCAGGGGGAAGUUCCACUGCGACAGAGCACAGGGGCUUUGGAGGCCCAGAUCCACCCUCUUACCCUGUCCCAUGUGCUCAACGAUGCCUUUGUGGAGGACACUUGCUUUUCAUGGUCUGGAUUUGGGGUAUGUGGGGUAACAUAGGAGUGUGCAAUGAUCAGAACUGCAAUCCUGCACAGCACUUCCUAAACUGCAUUCUGGGUGGUACUAAUAGGCAGCCUUUGCAAAG
RNAcentral lists this long non-coding RNA (2807 nucleotides) under Homo sapiens (human). Its description in RNAcentral is "non-protein coding lnc-CHSY1-5:1". Lineage: Eukaryota; Metazoa; Chordata; Mammalia; Primates; Hominidae. The record is from RNAcentral.